GCCUAUAAAUUUCACUUAAAAAAAAAUUUCCAGUCAUCAAGUGAGAAAAAAAUUCUUCUAUAGGUGUACAAAAAAACUAUAUUGCCUCUUACAAAAUCCCCCCCCCCCCCAUCACUUUUCUAAUGGUCCUUCCCUAAUUGUUCAUUAUCGAAUCAUUGAUGUAAUCGUUCUGAGCGCUUGGUUCUCAGUGUUGAUCUCAGUGCAAUGACUAUAACUGGAAUGCUGUGUGUCUGGGGGUCAAGACCCGAGUGUCUAUAUGCCCCGAGAUACACCCCUUUCGAUAAUUAUGUCACACAUACCUUUUGGUCUUGGAGCCUCGCUCUCAUUAGUGAAUUACGCUAGGUGGUUGGCUCACGAUUCAUGGCGAGGCUCCUAGGCCAAAUUACGUAAUUAUUAAGUAUUCUCUGGCGUAAACAAUUAUUAGAAAAAAAUAAGAAAAAAACGAAAAGUGAAGUCAAAUGCAUUCAUAGAAAGCUUUGAGCUCACAGAAGUAGCGUAGAAAGAUAUUUAAUGUUUGGAGGGAUGAAAACCAGCUAAGAAGGUUUACGGAAGAAAUUUGAGGCUCGGAAAUAUAAUUUCUUGCACUUUCUGACGCCGAAUUUGGACGGCCAAAAAAUUCUGCAAAAAACUGCUUCGUAGUUGGUUUAAUUUUGGUCAGCCGAGUUUGUACGACUUGGUGCGAUCCAAAAUCGCGGGGAAUUAGCAUAGUCAAAAUAUCUGGCAAUGGAGGAAGCUCACGCUUUUCAACCAAGACAUAUACGACUUAUCCAUUUUUAUGGCGGCCUAGCCUUUUUCAGCUGGCCUUAAAUUCACUUAAGGAAUAUUUCAUUGAGCACGAUGUUGGUAAUUUUGUUCAAUUUGCCUUUUAAGCCUAGGUUUCCAUAGUCACGAUCUUUCUCAACGGCCAGUUUAUAAUAGUUUAUACCUGUAAACCACAUAUAAAUCAUAAGUAUUCUCUUGUUCUAAUCACUCCGCGUAUUUUCAGUUCUAGAAUGUUGUAUUUCGGCUGAUGAGAAAGAUCGUGACUCAAUCUUUACGACCGUUACGACCAUAUGGAAACCAGGCUUCAGGCAGCGAUCAAGAAUCCUCUCAUAUUACUGUUUUACUGUGAUCGUUUUUGGGUGGAGGUUAGCCCCCCCCCCCCACUUUUACCUCUGGGCCCCCUACACACGCGUUUGUUACAAAAUGCACAAGUUGUAACAAACCUGCAGCAGACUUGUAGCAAUGCUGUUCCAACAUCUUGUCAACAGGAUGUGUUCGCACUGCUUGUUCCCAGCUUGUUGACAAGUUGUCAACGGCUUGUUCACAACUGGCUACAAGGUUGUUGAGCUCAACAGACUUGUCACAAGUUGUUCUGAACAAACUUGUUAUCGUCCUGCAGUUCAACAAUUUGUCAACAUGUUGUGAGUGACAACCUUGUACCAUGUUGGUGAAAUAACAGCAUUGUUACAACUUGUUCGCAAGCUUACUGCAAGGUUGUUGAGCUCAACAGACUUGUUACAAGUUGUUCCGAAAAAAAGUUGUUAUCGUCCUGCAAUUCAACAAUUUGUCAACACGUUGCGAGUGACAACCUUGUAGCAACUUGAUAAAAUAUCAGCAUUGUUACAACUUAUUACUUAUUGACAAUUAAGCUUGCUACAAGCCUCUUGCGAACAUAUCUUGUUGACAAGUUGUGAGAUUUUUACGUGUGUGCAGUCAAACCCAAGCAUGCAAGCCAUCGAAAGUUGUAAAUUGGCUGCAUGCAACGUUAGCUAAUUUUGUAAGCACCUCUUGUGGCGCGCCAUUUUGUUUAGUCUACCUGAUGUGGAUUGCAGCUCGCGACCUGCCUCUUGCAUCAGCACACUUCAUUUUAACAGCUGGAGAAAAUUAGCUUUCUCUUCGAAAAUAAAUUAAUGUGUUCAUCAUCGCAAUGCUGGAAGCGGCCUGCAACGGCGCGCGUUCAUAAUCUUCGCUCAAUUUUUCUCAAUUUAACUACGACGAGAGUCUUACCCUUGCGACUCUGAUCUAUUUAAAUUAACCUAUAACUCAAUACACCAUUUGCAUUAUAGCCUGACUAAAUUUUGAUAUAGACAAGUCUAGACAAAAAUUUCAUCACAGGUUGAAAAAGCAUCACAAAAUUAGUAAUAUUCCGAAGUUUCGUUGCGAAAUGUUGUAAAAUGCGGAUAAUAUAGCCUUGCGAAUUUUGCAAUUUUCAGUCAUUUUGUAUUACAAACGGGAAAUUGAUGCCCCAACACCCGAUUGGGCUGGCAAUUUCCCGUGCGUAAUACAAAAUGACUGAAAAAUGGCAAACUUCGCAAGGCUAUAUUAUCCGCAUUUUACAACAUUUCGCAACGAAACUUUGGCAUAUUACUAAUUCUGUGAUGCUCUUUCAACCUGUGAUGAAAUUUUUGUCUAGAUCAAAAUUUAGCCCAUAACGCAAAUGGUCCAUUCCCAAGACCGAAUUUACACGAGGCUAGUUUUCCUGCACUAUUUAGGGAGCGGUCAUUAUGCAUGGCGGGGGAGGGGGGGACCGAAGGGAAAAGGGUUGGGUAAACAAAAUUUUGAGUGAGUAAAUGAAAAACAAAACAACUCAGCUGAAUAUCAACAGUCAUAUCUCAAUACGAUAUGUAAAUCAAUCAGAGUCACUGUCUUCGAUCAUUUCCCAUUUUGUCAGCAGGCAAAUGGUGUCUCCAAAGGGAUAUAGAUUCAUAUCUCGCUAAUAGGGUUAGCGGUUAGGGUUAGCAUUAUAAAUAGCGAGACAUGAAUCUAUAACCCUCCAAAGAAAGUACAUGUGCAGACAACAUCAAACUUCCCACCGGGCACACGACGUUGUUUCAACGUUGAAAUUUGGUAGAAAAAAGGUUGCGACGUCGACAACCUAAUAUCUACGUUGCUCUGACGUUGUUUUGCAAACAUUGGUUCAACAGCAGCCAACAGACGUUGAAUUAACGUUCAUUCAUGGUUAAAUGUACGACGUCGAUUUGUGAACCAAUCUCAACGUUGUUUUAACGUGGAUUCAACGUUGAAUUAUGGUUGACGAGAUUGGCAACCUAAUUUCAACGUUGUUUCAACGUCGAAACAGUAACGUCGAUCCAAUUUGCAUAGUCAACCCUUUUUCAACGUCUAUCCAACGUCUGGAAGGUCAUUUCCAACGUUCAUUCAACGUUGGAUAAACGUCAUUUUGCCCGCUGGGUUUAGACUGCAGAAAAUUGCACAAGCAGUUAUCAAACUCAUGUCACAGAAGUGGUAAAGGACAUGUGUGACAACGUUUUUGGCCAGGGGUGGUAUUUGUGCUUUAAAUUGAAUAUUUGAGUUUGGGUAAAAAUCCUUUUUGACUUUUUAAUUGUUGGUCAUCAAAAUUUUUACCAAGAAAACACAACAUUUUAGAACUGAAAAUAUGCGGAGUGAUUAUAACUAGAGAAUACUUAUGAUUUAUACGUGGUUUACAGGUAUAUAUAAACUAUUAUUAAAAACUCGAACUGACUGGACUAAUUUCUAAGUAGUUUUAUUUUCAUGUACAAUUUAUGCAGUUUUAAUAUCCUCGUACGAUCACAAUGCAUUCUAAACUCCCAGAGGUAAUGACGUUUGGGUGUUUACAACAAAAGGAUGAUUUCUAAAGGUUCACUUUUCUUUUGAGACACCCUGGAUAGCAAUCAUUUCAGACCAAAACCGAAAUGUUUUUGAACAGCUUUGCUUAUCUCGCGAACCAGCAUGGGCUAUUGGUAAUUAUUGUAUAUUUGGCCCCCAUGCAUGGCUUUUUUAGCCCCCCACUUCUUAAUUAGCCUCCAUGCAGACCAGUCGCGCUGAACGUCUUGACCCAUGCAUUGACCCCAUCAUUCAUUAAUGAAAUCAUUCUCAAUAUAAACUUGUGGCGAAAUAUCGGAACAUCAACGUUCUUUAUAACUACGUUCAAUGAUAGUGCUGUGUAUAUAAAGUUAAAAUAAUAUGGCUAAGUACUAAUGCUAGUCUUCCAGCCGCUCUUUGCGAAACAAAAGGAGUAAAGGCUCUUUUAAUUUCCACUCAUCCUAAAGACCAACUCGCUCGCAACAAGCCCGCUGCGAGGACUUGCAUCUAAUCAAAACAGACUGUAAAAAGAGGCUAAAAAGUAAAGACAAACGCCCUGUAUUCUAAAAGCUUAAUCACACUCAAAGAGAGGAGGUUCAAUCUGAGCUUCCCUUGUGUGUCAGUGCUGUUUUUGAAUAGCUGGAGGGUGAGUGGUCACAUAGUAAGGUACGGGACUAACCCUCCAGCUAUUCAAAAACAGCACUGGCACUCAAGGGAAGCUCAGAUUGAACCUCCACUCUUUGAGUGCGAG
Non-coding RNA from Paramuricea clavata, 4294 nucleotides. The record is from the annotation of a GenBank genome assembly. Lineage: Eukaryota; Metazoa; Cnidaria; Anthozoa; Malacalcyonacea; Plexauridae.